AUGAGUGUCCUAUCGUGGAACUAUCGAGGGCUUGGGAACCCUUGGACAGUUCGAGAGCUUCGCAAAGUGGCGAAGCAAGAAGGCACCGCCCUUCUGUUUGUCAUGGAAACAAAAAUUAAGGGCAAGCGUGUGGAGGACCUAAAAGUUAGUUUAGGUUUUUCUGGUUGUUUUGUCGUCAAUAGUGACGGGCUUAGUGGAGGUAUUGGCCUUUUUUGGUCAAGAGAUAUCAAUGUUUCGGUGCAAAACUACAAUCGAUAUCAUAUCACUGUAAAAGUCAAUAAAGAUAAUAAAAGUUGGCGUUUCAUGGGUUUUUACGGAGAACCUCGGGUGGAAAAUAGACACCACAGUUGGUGGUUCUUGUGUACUUUAUUUGCUGUUCACCACGAAGCAUGGACCUGUAUCGAUGAUUUCAAUGAAACACUUCAUGGACGAGCACUUUGGAGCCAAUGCUAG
This 453-nucleotide ribosomal RNA is filed under the name Triticum aestivum (bread wheat). RNAcentral's name for it is "partial small subunit ribosomal RNA". The record is from RNAcentral. Lineage: Eukaryota; Viridiplantae; Streptophyta; Magnoliopsida; Poales; Poaceae.